UAUAAUUGAUAAAGAUGUGGUA
RNAcentral lists this non-coding RNA (22 nucleotides) under Arabidopsis thaliana (thale cress). The record is from RNAcentral. Lineage: Eukaryota; Viridiplantae; Streptophyta; Magnoliopsida; Brassicales; Brassicaceae.